AACGAACGCUGGCGGCAGGCUUAACACAUGCAAGUCGAACGCAUCCUGCGGGGUGAGUGGCAGACGGGUGAGUAACGCGUGGGAACGUGCCCUGCAGUUCGGGAUAACCUAGGGAAACAGGGGCUAAAACCGGGUACGUGCGAGAGCAGAAAGAUGUAUCGCUGAAGGAUCGGCCAGCGUCUGAUUAGCUAGUUGGGGGGGUAAUGGCCCACCAAGGCGACGAUCAGUAGCUGGUCUGAGAGGACGCUCAGCCACAUUGGAACUGAGCACACGGCCCAAACUCCUACGGGAGGCAGCAGUGGGGAAUAUUGAACAAUGGGCGCAAGCCUGAUCCAGCCAUGCCGCGUGAGUGAUGAAGGCCUUAGGGUUGUAAAGCUCGUUCGUCCGGGACGAUAAUGACGGUACCGGAAGAAGAAGCCCCGGCUAACUUCGUGCCAGCAGCCGCAGUAA
RNAcentral lists this ribosomal RNA (450 nucleotides) under uncultured bacterium. RNAcentral's name for it is "partial 16S ribosomal RNA". It matches the Rfam family "Bacterial small subunit ribosomal RNA", at positions 29 to 523 of the family's 1533-position model. The record is from RNAcentral.